RNAcentral lists this ribosomal RNA (261 nucleotides) under uncultured Brevibacterium sp. RNAcentral describes it as "partial 16S ribosomal RNA". It matches the Rfam family "Bacterial small subunit ribosomal RNA", at positions 109 to 372 of the family's 1533-position model. Lineage: Bacteria; Bacillati; Actinomycetota; Actinomycetes; Micrococcales; Brevibacteriaceae. The record is from RNAcentral.
AGUAACACGUGAGUAACCUGCCCCUGAUUUCGGGAUAAGCCUGGGAAACUGGGUCUAAUACCGGAUACGACCACCUGACGCAUGUUGGGUGGUGGAAAGUUUUUCGAUCGGGGAUGGGCUCGCGGCCUAUCAGCUUGUUGGUGGGGUAAUGGCCUACCAAGGCGACGACGGGUAGCCGGCCUGAGAGGGCGACCGGCCACACUGGGACUGAGACACGGCCCAGACUCCUACGGGAGGCAGCAGUGGGGAAUAUUGCACAAU